GAGGAAUAUUGGACAAUGGGUGGAAGCCUGAUCCAGCCAUCCCGCGUGAAGGAUGACGGUCCUAUGGAUUGUAAACUUCUUUUGUACAGGGAUAAACCUGCCCUCGUGAGGGCAGCUGAAGGUACUGUACGAAUAAGCACCGGCUAACUCCGUGCCAGCAGCCGCGGUAAUACGGAGGGUGCGAGCGUUAUCCGGAUUUAUUGGGUUUAAAGGGUCCGUAGGCGGGCCUGUAAGUCAGUGGUGAAAUCUCAUAGCUUAACUAUGAAACUGCCAUUGAUACUGCAGGCCUUGAGUAAAUUUGAAGUGGCUGGAAUAAGUAGUGUAGCGGUGAAAUGCAUAGAUAUUACUUAGAACACCGAUUGCGAAGGCGGGUCACUAAGAUUUAACUGACGCUGAUGGACGAAAGCGUGGGGAGCGAACA
This 421-nucleotide ribosomal RNA is filed under the name uncultured bacterium. RNAcentral's name for it is "bacterial SSU rRNA". It matches the Rfam family "Bacterial small subunit ribosomal RNA", at positions 356 to 774 of the family's 1533-position model. The record is from RNAcentral.